GCCGAGGUAGCCUAGUCCGGUAAGGCGCCAGAUUCGAGAUCUGGUUCUCGCUAUGCGAGAGCGCAGGUUCAAAUCCUGCCCUCGGCG
RNAcentral lists this transfer RNA (87 nucleotides) under Methanobacteriota archaeon. RNAcentral describes it as "Euryarchaeota archaeon (groundwater metagenome) tRNA-Ser". It matches the Rfam family "tRNA". Rfam says of the family: Transfer RNA (tRNA) molecules are approximately 80 nucleotides in length. Their secondary structure includes four short double-helical elements and three loops (D, anti-codon, and T loops). Lineage: Archaea; Methanobacteriati; Methanobacteriota. The record is from RNAcentral.